GGGUGUUAGUAAAGUAAAUACAUAGCCUUGUCAAGUCUAAGUCGCAGGUGGAAACCCUGCACAUCCC
This 67-nucleotide transfer RNA is filed under the name Progne chalybea. Its description in RNAcentral is "tRNA-Asp". It matches the Rfam family "tRNA". Rfam says of the family: Transfer RNA (tRNA) molecules are approximately 80 nucleotides in length. Lineage: Eukaryota; Metazoa; Chordata; Aves; Passeriformes; Hirundinidae. The record is from RNAcentral.